AGUUCCUUGGAACAGGGCGUCAUAGAGGGUGAGAAUCCCGUACGUGGCCGGCGGUCAAUUCCAUGUGAAACCCCUUNGACGAGUCGAGUUGUUUGGGAAUGCAGCUCAAAAUGGGUGGUAAAUUUCAUCUAAAGCUAAAUACCGGCCAGAGACCGAUAGCGCACAAGUAGAGUGAUCGAAAGAUGAAAAGCACUUUGGAAAGAGAGUUAAAAAGUACGUGAAAUUGUUGAAAGGGAAGCGCUUGCAAUCAGACUUGCUCACAGGUGAUCAGCCCCCCUUCGUGGGGGGUGCACUCACCUGUGAUCAGGCCAGCAUCGGUUUUGACGGGCGGAUAAAGGCCCCAGGAAUGUAGCUCCCCUCGGGGAGUGUUAUAGCCUGAGGUACCAUGCGCCCAGUCGGGACCGAGGACCGCGCUUCGGCUAGGAUGCUGGCGUAAUGGUUGUAAGCGACCCGUCUUGAAACACGGACCAAGGAGUCUAACAUCUAUGCGAGUGUUUGGGUGAUAAACCCAUGCGCGGAAUGAAAGUGAACGGAGGUGGGAGCCCUUUUCGGGGGGCGCACCAUCGACCGAUCCAGAUGUCUUCGGAUGGAUUUGAGUAGGAGCAUAGCUGUUGGGACCCGAAAGAUGGUGAACUAUGCCUGGAUAGGGUGAAGCCAGAGGAAACUCUGGUGGAGGCUCGCAGCGGUUCUGACGUGCAAAUCGAUCGUCAAAUCUGGGUAUAGGGGCGAAAGGCAAGCUACCCGGUU
RNAcentral lists this ribosomal RNA (747 nucleotides) under Agrestia zerovii. Its description in RNAcentral is "partial 18S ribosomal RNA". It matches the Rfam family "Eukaryotic large subunit ribosomal RNA", at positions 184 to 945 of the family's 3401-position model. The record is from RNAcentral. Lineage: Eukaryota; Fungi; Ascomycota; Lecanoromycetes; Pertusariales; Megasporaceae.